RNAcentral lists this ribosomal RNA (253 nucleotides) under uncultured bacterium. RNAcentral's name for it is "partial 16S ribosomal RNA". It matches the Rfam family "Bacterial small subunit ribosomal RNA", at positions 524 to 776 of the family's 1533-position model. The record is from RNAcentral.
UACGGAGGGUGCAAGCGUUAUCCGGAUUCACUGGGUUUAAAGGGUGCGUAGGUGGGUCUGUAAGUCCGUGGUGAAAUCUCCGAGCUUAACUUGGAAACUGCCAUGGAUACUAUAGGUCUUGAAUACUGUGGAGGUCAGCGGAAUAUGUCAUGUAGCAGUGAAAUGCUUAGAUAUGACAUAGAACACCAAUUGCGAAGGCAGCUGGCUACACAAAUAUUGACACUGAUGCACGAAAGCGUGGGGAUCAAACAGG